UACGUAGGGUGCAAGCGUUAUCCGGAAUUAUUGGGCGUAAAGAGCUCGUAGGCGGUUUGUCGCGUCUGCUGUGAAAACUGGAGGCUCAACCUCCAGCCUGCAGUGGGUACGGGCAGACUGGAGUACUGCAGGGGAGACUGGAAUUCCUGGUGUAGCGGUGGAAUGCGCAGAUAUCAGGAGGAACACCGGUGGCGAAGGCGCUGCUCUGGGCCGAAACUGACGCUGAGGAGCGAAAGCGUGGGUAGCAAACAGG
This 253-nucleotide ribosomal RNA is filed under the name uncultured bacterium. RNAcentral's name for it is "partial 16S ribosomal RNA". It matches the Rfam family "Bacterial small subunit ribosomal RNA", at positions 524 to 776 of the family's 1533-position model. The record is from RNAcentral.